AAGUCGUAACAAGGUUUCCGUAGGUGAACCUGCGGAAGGAUCAUUACCAAUUUCGGGGGACUUCGGUCCCUGUCUGAACCCUUGUCUUUUGAGUACCAUUUGUUUCCUUGGUAGGCUUUGCCUGCCAAUAGGACGACACCACUUAACCUCUUGUAAUUGCAAUCAGCGUCAGAAAAACAUAAUAGUUACAACUUUCAACAACGGAUCUCUUGGUUCUG
This 218-nucleotide unclassified non-coding RNA is filed under the name Pyrenochaeta sp. RNAcentral's name for it is "partial internal transcribed spacer region". The stretch from base 1 to 46 matches the Rfam family "Eukaryotic small subunit ribosomal RNA", at positions 1786 to 1831 of the family's 1831-position model. The record is from RNAcentral. Lineage: Eukaryota; Fungi; Ascomycota; Dothideomycetes; Pleosporales; Cucurbitariaceae.